AUACUUACCUGGCAGGGAGGUACCAUGAUCAUGAAGGUGGUUUUCCCAAUGCGAGGCUUAUCCAUAGCACUCUGGAUGCACUGACCCCUGCGAUUUCCCCAAAUGCAGGAAACUCAACUGCAUGAUUUGUGGUAGUGGGGGACUGUGUUCGCGCUUUCCCCGG
This 163-nucleotide small nuclear RNA is filed under the name Saimiri boliviensis boliviensis (Bolivian squirrel monkey). Its description in RNAcentral is "U1 spliceosomal RNA (ENSSBOG00000009065.1)". It matches the Rfam family "U1 spliceosomal RNA". From Rfam's summary of the family: U1 is a small nuclear RNA (snRNA) component of the spliceosome (involved in pre-mRNA splicing). Its 5' end forms complementary base pairs with the 5' splice junction, thus defining the 5' donor site of an intron. There are significant differences in sequence and secondary structure between metazoan and yeast U1 snRNAs, the latter being much longer (568 nucleotides as compared to 164 nucleotides in human). Lineage: Eukaryota; Metazoa; Chordata; Mammalia; Primates; Cebidae. The record is from Rfam by way of RNAcentral.